CCUACGGGCGGCUGCAGUGGGGAAUAUUGGACAAUGGGGGGAACCCUGAUCCAGCCAUGCCGCGUGUGUGAAGAAGGCCCUCGGGUUGUAAAGCACUUUCAGUGAGGAAGAACGCCUGGUGGUUAAUACCCAUCAGGAAAGACAUCACUCACAGAAGAAGCACCGGCUAACUCCGUGCCAGCAGCCGCGGUAAUACGGAGGGUGCGAGCGUUAAUCGGAAUUACUGGGCGUAAAGCGCGCGUAGGUGGCUUGAUAAGCCGGUUGUGAAAGCCCCGGGCUCAACCUGGGAACGGCAUCCGGAACUGUCAAGCUAGAGUGCAGGAGAGGACGGUAGAAUUCCCGGUGUAGCGGUGAAAUGCGUAGAGAUCGGGAGGAAUACCAGUGGCGAAGGCGGCCUUCUGGACUGACACUGACACUGAGGUGCGAAAGCGUGGGUAGCAAACAGGAUUAGAUACCCCUGUAGUA
This 465-nucleotide ribosomal RNA is filed under the name Vreelandella stevensii. RNAcentral's name for it is "partial 16S ribosomal RNA". It matches the Rfam family "Bacterial small subunit ribosomal RNA", at positions 338 to 795 of the family's 1533-position model. The record is from RNAcentral. Lineage: Bacteria; Pseudomonadati; Pseudomonadota; Gammaproteobacteria; Oceanospirillales; Halomonadaceae.